UACGUAGGGGGCGAGCGCUGCCCGGAAUCACUGGGCGUAAAGGGUACGCAGGCGGACCUGUAAGUCAGGGGUGAAAUUCCCAGGCUUAACUUCGGAGCUGCCGCGGAGACUGGAGGUCUGGGGUGCGGGAGAGGGGGGUGGAAUUCGGGGUGUGGCGGGGAAAUGCGUAGAUUUCGGGAGGAACAUCGGUGGGGAAGGCGGCCGCCUGGCCCGCUACCGACGCUCAGGUACGAAAGCGUGGGGAGCAACCAGG
Molecule: ribosomal RNA, 253 nt
Filed under: uncultured bacterium
Lineage: Bacteria
Description: partial 16S ribosomal RNA
Rfam family: Bacterial small subunit ribosomal RNA
Source: RNAcentral